This 781-nucleotide unclassified non-coding RNA is filed under the name Bombus terrestris (buff-tailed bumblebee). RNAcentral describes it as "misc RNA ENSBTSG00005038827.1". Lineage: Eukaryota; Metazoa; Arthropoda; Insecta; Hymenoptera; Apidae. The record is from RNAcentral.
UAUUUUAUGAGUUACAGCCAUUUUUAUAACGUGGUCUAUCUAUCUGCUCCGAUCCGACCGGAAUAAAUGAACAAUAGACAGUACACGCUACCCGAGUACCUACGUAUAAAUACCCUCAUAAAAUAUUUAUUGUAUUUUAUCCCUUUUUAAUGUAUUUUUAAUUCAAUAAUUCAAUUGGAACGAUGUUUGGGUUCUGAAACCCAAAAUAAUAACGAAUCGUUAAAUUCGUUGAUAUGGACUUUUUUAUGGAGGCACAUCCACGCAGGAACGCAGACAAUUCAAAUUUUCACUUUCCCCGCUAAACUCAUGCGUUCGCAGUCUGGCAAGACGAAGUUCGUACCGAGCGCACUGAACUCCGAGCUUCAGAGGCAUCAAAGGAAGCCAGGACUGCUCGUCUCCAUGAAACAACUUCGGAGAAUGAGCAUUUUCAAAUAGAGGAAGGUUUCCUGUAGGGAGCAGGAAUCGCCGAUUAAAAAUAUCAGGUAACGUUAUUGGAUACUAUAAAACAAUUGAAAAAAAAGAAGAUUCUAAUUUCAAGAAUACGGAGAUCCAAGCAACAGAUAAAGGAGAGGUCAUUCAAAACACCAUUAAAAGACCGACAGGCCCAGUCACAUUUAUACCAUGGUGCCAACUUCAAGGGGACGCGUAACGAGCGUGCGUAGUAAGGAUAUUGAUGGAUGACAAAAAGAACCGAAUCGGAUCAAGAAAACUGUUAAGCUGUAACCGAGGGGAGAGAAUCGUCAGUUGGAAUCGAGAGUUGUACGUAAAGAGUAGAAAGCGG